Portunus trituberculatus (swimming crab) is the source of this 3169-nucleotide RNA transcript. RefSeq lists it as uncharacterized. The record is from RefSeq and is a predicted model, not a curated record. NCBI's taxonomy places the organism in Eukaryota, Metazoa, Arthropoda, Malacostraca, Decapoda, Portunidae. The transcript is spliced from 2 exons.
GCUGUCUCUCAAAGAAGUGUUCUUAUUGCAAUGUAUCACUGUUGAAUUUUUCACAAUAUGCACACCAUUUAAAGUUGUUUCAUGAACAUGAAAAAGAUUUUAAAGUUCUUUGCCACAUUGAAAAUUGUCAAAAGACUUUCAAAACAGUGGCAAGUUACAAAUAACAUAAUUAUAGGAAUCAUGGCACAAAAAAAUUCUUUAACCUUUCUGAUAGUGAAGGAGAACUUUUAGAUGCUGUCAACUCUGGAGAGCACUCUGGCACUUCACAUCUUGCUGACAAUGUAGACUUUGUUGAAGUGAGUGAAAGUGAUGGAGAAAAUAACAUAGUUGAUAAUUUCACAAUGCAUACUGCAUCUUUCAUAUUGAAUUUAAAAGAGAGUCACAUGCUUCCAGAUGCACUGAUAGAGAGUGUCCAGUCUGAAAUAGAUUUCCUGGUUAAAUUCACUGAAAAACACUACAGAGCCUCAAUACAAAAGGGAUUAGCAGAGCUUGGAGCCAAUGCCACAGACUCUAAAACAUUUUCAAGUCUCCUUGGUGAGGAAACUCUGUUGGAUCAGCAUAACCAACUGUUAAACACAAAAUUUAAAUUCAAGAAAUUUAUUUAGCAUAAUUUCCCAUUUAUAGCUGCCCAAGAAUAUUUGUUAUCAAGUCAUGAUAAAAAAAAAGCUACAUUUCAUUAUGUGCCAAUUAUUGAUUUAUUGAAAACUGUGAUUUUGAAGCCAGGUUUUCUAGAGGUUAUAAGGCAAAGGUCACCAUGAAAAACACCAUCCUAAUGUACUGUAUGCCACUUGUGAUGGUAAUAUUUCUAACAACAUUGAGAACAAUUCAAUACAACUGAAGAUUCAGCUGUAUGUCGAUGAGUUCGAGGUCUGCAACCCUAUCGGGGCCAAGCGAGGCAAACACAAAUUAACUGCUGCAUACUUCACCAUAAACAAUGUACCAUUGCAUUACAGAAACAAAAACCUUAUAUUUUUGUGCCUGCUUGUGAAACACAGGUCAUUGAAGCUGUAUGACCCCACAUACAAGAAAGUAUUUGAACCCUUGAUAGAGGAUUUACACACACUUUAUGAAGGCAUUGAUGUUAAUGUGAACGGGAGAGAUCAUAGGCUCACAGCUGUGUUAGAGAUAGUUAUGGGAGACAACUUAUCUUCCCAUGCCAUUGCAGGAUUCCAAACCAACUUUAACUCAGGGUCUAUAUGUAGAUAUUGUACAGUGCAAUACUUUCACUUUAGGAAUGCAUUGGCAAUAUAUCAGCUUAGGCCUAGAACAAAUGAAACCUAUGAAAAUGAGAUAAAAUAUAUAGAUGAGGAUGAAGAUGCUGCUGCUGUAUAUGGCAUCAAGCAUAAAUGUGUGUUUUCUGGUCUGAGUUAUUUUAAAGUACCAGACUCUUUUCCUGCAGAUAUAAUGCAUGAUUGCCUAGAGGGUGUCAUACCAGUCACAGUCUAUCUUGUUCUGAAAUCCCUCCAUACACAGAAGAUAAUUACUGUUACUGGUCUAAACACAUAUCUCAGUGAAGUUAAGAUACCUGCCAAUGAUAAGCCAAACAUUUUUAAAGAUACUUUCUUCUCUGAUAAAAAGAUUGUUGGUAGUGCUGCACAGAAGCUUGAACUUUUCUUGAUUUUGCCCCAGCUUGUAGAUUUAAGCCUAGUCAGUGACUCAAAAGCAUGGGGUGUUUAUUUGGCACUCAGGGCAUGUAUGGAUUAUAUUCUUAGCCCUGUUAUUAUAGAAAAGGAAUCCCUUCCCCAUUUAGCUGGUCUUAUUGAAUCAUAUCUUUACAAGUUCAAAGAGACAGUUGGCAGUGAUUUUCUUAUUCCAAAGCAUCAUUAUAUGAUGCAUAUUCCAUCUCUCAUUGAAAAGUUUGGGCCUUUGAGGAACUUAUGGUGCAUGAGUUUUGAAGCAAAUCAUCAAUAUUUCAAGAAACUUAUUGUAAACACUAGGAAUUAUGUUAAUGUCACACAUACAUUGGCUGAAAGACACCAAAUGAAACUUGCUCAUGAACUGGCUGCAAAAAAUUACUUUUCAAAUGAAAACGAACCUCGAGCAGCAGUUAAACAUAUUAUAUUUGACAGCCUUCCUCAGACUUUGAGAGUAACCAUCCAAGAUAAGCUGAGGAAACAAUUACGUGCAGCAACAGUUAUGUUAACAGUGUCAAAUCACUGAAAGUUAAUGGAGUUUUGUACAAAAUUAGUCUAAGUACAUGUCAUAUUCUGGAUUUCAUUAAUGAAUUGCCCUGCUUUGCUCAGAUUAAAUAUAUCUUAUUCAUUGAGGGAAAUUGGUAUCUCUGCCUUAAAGUUUACUUUCCUAUUCAGUUUAAUGAAAUUGCCCAUGCCUUUGAGGUUGAAUGUCAGCCAUCAUGGAUUGUUGUGCUUCCUCAAGACCUGGCAGACAGCCACAAGCAUAGAAUAUAUAUGAGAGAUGCAAAGACUUAUGCCUUCACAGUAUUCCAUGUGACUGAGUUUCAUAGAGAUAUAUAAACUCACUCUGUUCCUCCUUAUCAUCAGACUGUAUCAUUGUAAUGCCUCUCUGCAGCAUUUCCAUUCACUUCUCUCUACAACAUCUACCCUCCAGUUUAGAUUUUAACUUCUUAAUUUCAUCACACCAUCUGGUAUAUAGCUUCCUUUAGGUCUAUUUAUAUCAGUUACUAUGUCCCAUUCUGUCACUCAAUCAGACCACUUGUCAUCAUCUACAUAGCCCCUAUGUCAUGCCUAUUGCCAUUUCACUGGACUGUCUCUGAUGUAUCAUUUCAUUAGUGUGUAUAUUUGUGCCAUGAUUCCUAGUUUUACAAGUUAUGUAUGUUUUGUGAUUGUAACUAACAUUUAUAAUGAAAACCACUUUAUUUUAAAAGACAAUCAGAUAGAUGGCUAUAGACUGCUCAAACUUCCUGAGAGGUUGCUCGAUCAGCUAGUUCCCAUCAUUGGGGACAGAAUUGUGAUCUUUGAGGAAAUUGAAAAACUGAAACAAUGCCAUGAGAAAGCUCUCCUUGGAGAAGAAAAACCAGCAACAGCUAAGGAUAGUGAAUCUCCAGCACCAGAGGAAUGUGCAACUGAAGAUGUUGAACACCCUGCUCCAGGGCCCAGCGCACUCCCACCAACCAAUACAUGGCUUGAUCUUCAGGAUUACACGCUUCCAGUCUUCCCUGGCACAGUUAAGGUCAUCCUCGAGACAAAAA